Molecule: ribosomal RNA, 492 nt
Filed under: uncultured bacterium
Lineage: Bacteria
Description: partial 16S ribosomal RNA
Rfam family: Bacterial small subunit ribosomal RNA
Source: RNAcentral
AGUGAACGCUGGCGGUAGGCCUAACACAUGCAAGUCGAACGGCAGCACAGUAAGAGCUUGCUCUUACGGGUGGCGAGUGGCGGACGGGUGAGGAAUACAUCGGAAUCUACUUUUUCGUGGGGGAUAACGUAGGGAAACUUACGCUAAUACCGCCUACGACCUACGGGUGAAAGCAGGGGAUCUUCGGGCCUUGCGCGAUUGAAUGAGCCGAUGUCGGAUUAGCUAGUUGGCGGGGUAAAGGCCCACCAAGGCGACGAUCCGUAGCUGGUCUGAGAGGAUGAUCAGCCACACUGGAACUGAGACACGGUCCAGACUCCUACGGGAGGCAGCAGUGGGGAAUAUUGGACAAUGGGCGCAAGCCUGAUCCAGCCAUACCGCGUGGGUGAAGAAGGCCUUCGGGUUGUAAAGCCCUUUUGUUGGGAAAGAAAAGCAGCAGGUUAAUACCCCGCUGUUCUGACGGUACCCAAAGAAUAAGCACCGGCUAACUUCGUG